AGCCAGGAAUGCCCGAAGCCAGUGGCCUAACCGCAAGGGAGGAGCUGUCGAAGGCAGGCCCGGUAACUGGGGUGAAGUCGUAACAAGGUAGC
This 92-nucleotide ribosomal RNA is filed under the name uncultured bacterium. Its description in RNAcentral is "partial 16S ribosomal RNA". It matches the Rfam family "Bacterial small subunit ribosomal RNA", at positions 1409 to 1500 of the family's 1533-position model. The record is from RNAcentral.